This 763-nucleotide ribosomal RNA is filed under the name uncultured Acidobacteriota bacterium. Its description in RNAcentral is "bacterial SSU rRNA". It matches the Rfam family "Bacterial small subunit ribosomal RNA", at positions 32 to 775 of the family's 1533-position model. The record is from RNAcentral. Lineage: Bacteria; Pseudomonadati; Acidobacteriota.
AACGCUGGCGGCGUGCCUAACACAUGCAAGUCGAACGAGAGAGUGGGACUGUAGCAAUACAGUUGCACCAGUAAAGUGGCGAACGGGUGAGUAACACGUAGCUAACCUACCCUCGAGCGGGGAAUAACCCGGGGAAACCUGAGCUAAUACCGCAUAAUAUUCCGGUGGCCUAAGUCGCCGGGAUCAAAGGCCCGCAAGGGUCACUUGAGGAGGGGGCUGCGGCCGAUUAGCUAGUUGGUGGGGUAAUGGCCUACCAAGGCGAUGAUCGGUAGCCGGCCUGAGAGGGCGCACGGCCACACUGGCACUGAAAUACGGGCCAGACUCCUACGGGAGGCAGCAGUGGGGAAUUUUGCACAAUGCCCGAAAGGGUGAUGCAGCAACGCCGCGUGAGGGAUGAAGGCCCUCGGGUCGUAAACCUCUUUCGAUCGGGAAAAACGGGCGGGUGAAGAGCCCGCUCUGAUGGUACCGGAUGAAGAAGCCCCGGCCAACUACGUGCCAGCAGCCGCGGUAAUACGUAGGGGGCAAGCGUUGUUCGGAAUUACUGGGCGUAAAGGGCGUGUAGGCGGUGCGGUAAGUUGGACGUGAAAUCCCCGGGCUUAACUCGGGGCGGUCGUUCAAAACUGCUGUGCUAGAGUGUGGGAGAGGGAAGUGGAAUUCCCGGUGUAGCGGUGAAAUGCGUAGAUAUCGGGAAGAACACCUGUGGCGAAGGCGGCUUCCUGGCCCACAACUGACGCUGAGGCGCGAAAGCUAGGGGAGCAAACAG